RNAcentral lists this ribosomal RNA (459 nucleotides) under uncultured bacterium. Its description in RNAcentral is "partial 16S ribosomal RNA". It matches the Rfam family "Bacterial small subunit ribosomal RNA", at positions 338 to 795 of the family's 1533-position model. The record is from RNAcentral.
CCUACGGGUGGCAGCAGUGAGGAAUAUUGGUCAAUGGUCGGGAGACUGAACCAGCCAAGCCGCGUGAGGGAUGAAGGUACAGAGUAUCGUAAACCUCUUUUGUCAGGGAACAAAGGCGGGGACGCGUCCCCGGAUGAGUGUACCUGAAGAAAAAGCAUCGGCUAACUCCGUGCCAGCAGCCGCGGUAAUACGGAGGAUGCGAGCGUUAUCCGGUUUUAUUGGGUUAAAAGGGUGCGCAGGCGGUCUGUUAAGUCAGCGGUAAAAGCCCGGGGCUCAACCCCGGCCCGCCGUUGAAACUGGCAGUCUCGAGUUGGAGAGAAGUAUGCGGAAUGCGCGGUGGAGCGGUGAAAUGCAUAGAUAUCGCGCAGAACUCCGAUUGCGAAGGCAGCAUGCCGGCUCCACACUGACGCUGAGGCACGAAAGCGUGGGUAUCGAACAGGAUUAGAUACCCUAGUAGUC